AUCCUGGCUCAGGAUGAACGCUAGCGACAGGCUUAACACAUGCAAGUCGAGGGGCAGCGGGGAGGAAGCUUGCUUUCUCCGCCGGCGACCGGCGCACGGGUGAGUAACACGUAUGCAACCUGCCCGGAACAGAGGGAUAAGCGGGAGAAAUUCCGUCUAAUACCGCAUAACACCCUGAGAGGACAUCCUCCUGGGGUCAAAGGAGGCGACUCCGGUUCCGGAUGGGCAUGCGGCGCAUUAGCUUGUUGGCGGGGUAACGGCCCACCAAGGCGACGAUGCGUAGGGGUUCUGAGAGGAAGGUCCCCCACAUUGGUACUGAGACACGGACCAAACUCCUACGGGAGGCAGCAGUGGGGAAUAUUGGUCAAUGGGCGAGAGCCUGAACCAGCCAAGUCGCGUGAGGGAAGACGGUCCUAUGGAUUGUAAACCUCUUUUGUCGGGGAGCAAAUGCAGCUACGCGUAGCUGAGAGGAGAGUACCCGAAGAAAAAGCAUCGGCUAACUCCGUGCCAGCAGCCGCGGUAAUACGGAGGAUGCGAGCGUUAUCCGGAUUUAUUGGGUUUAAAGGGUGCGCAGGCGGAGGCGGCAAGUCAGCGGUAAAAUUUCGGAGCUCAACUCCGGAGAGCCGUUGAAACUGCCCCACUAGAGUGGGCGAGAAGUAUGCGGAAUGCGUGGUGUAGCGGUGAAAUGCAUAGAUAUCACGCAGAACUCCGAUUGCGAAGGCAGCAUACCGGCGCCCUACUGACGCUCAUGCACGAAAGCGUGGGUAUCGAACAGGAUUAGAUACCCUGGUAGUCCACGCAGUAAACGAUGAAUACUAAUUGUUCGGGCCGAGUGAGGCCUGAGUGAUACAGCGAAAGCGUUAAGUAUUCCACCUGGGGAGUACGCCGGCAACGGUGCAACUCAAAGGAAUUGACGGA
Molecule: ribosomal RNA, 918 nt
Filed under: uncultured Bacteroidota bacterium
Lineage: Bacteria; Pseudomonadati; Bacteroidota
Description: bacterial SSU rRNA
Rfam family: Bacterial small subunit ribosomal RNA
Source: RNAcentral